This is a long non-coding RNA of Chelydra serpentina (North American snapping turtle), 1759 nucleotides long. The record is from Ensembl. NCBI's taxonomy places the organism in Eukaryota, Metazoa, Chordata, Testudines, Chelydridae.
CCGGGCGGGAAGGGAAGCGGCUCGGCGGGAGAGGCCGUUGGCCGCGCGCUGACUGGUUGGCGGCCCUUGGGGCGGGGGCGGCCUGUCGCGGCCGGGCUGCAGCAGGUCCCUCAUUUGUAUACAGAAAAAGGAUCAGCCAUGAAAUGUGUAAGAAAAAGAAGCACCGCCGAGCAGUUUGAGACUUGCGGCAUGUGGCUGGACACUGCAAAGUUAAAGAAGCGCAAAGUACAGGAGUUUACAAUCCAAGUUAGAGGGCUCACGAGGAGAUACAGCGUGGGAACAAGAGAGAUUGGCAGAGGAAGAAGCCUAGAGCAUUUUUACCUCUCCCUUAAAAAAAAAAAGCCAUCACUGAAUUGUCUCAGGUGUGGCAGUGAGGAGUAUCCUAACAGAGACUAGCAGUGCAAGGAAGGAUUUAAAGGUAAAGAGGUAGGAAAUGUGGCUUAUUGGGAAAGAAGGUUGUUCAAGCAGUGUGGUACAACUGUAGAUGAAAGGAGAUAAAGGGAAUAACAAUGAGAAGGGAGUUAUGUCACUGUUAACAAGUUAAAUUCACUCUAGCACUUCUCUCCCCACCCAGAUUCUCGUAUCCAAGCCAACUUCAAACAUGCCAAAUCCACUUCUUGAGAGGAACUAUAAUAGUCACAUUUCAGUUAAUUUUCCUCAGACAAGACUUUCUCAGCAAUACACCAGGCAAACUACCAUCUCUUCAUUCUUCAGCAUUCAACCAACAGGUAAAAAGGAUGAUGAAGAAAACUUAAAGCCAUAUCCUCUUCUGUCAAAUAAAACACACAAAGGAAAAGGCUCUGAUUUCUUGGCUGCCUCUAUAAAGAACACUGGGGCUGCUAAGUUAGAGGAAGCCCAGGCACCAACCUUGAGCCCUCAAGAGGACAACGUUCAGGAGCAUAGCCAGCCACUUGUACAAAACACACAAGGCUUGAACAGUCCCCUGCUGAACUAUACCUUCCCACAAGCACAGUCUAACAGCAGGAGUGAGUGCACAGCCAUUGCAAGGACCUCUGCUAGUGAGACAGAAGACUCUCUCUCCAUAAACUUCACCCAGGAUUCAGAGGGAAAUAGGGUUCUAGCUCACAGGAAUUCAGCUGACUCAUUCACUGGAAGAAUUUCUGUAGCUAAUGGGAUAAUUUCAAGGAAGAGAGAGAGUGAGGGUCAUUUGUGCUCUGAGAGGGGUAGAACUAGAGUGGGUCUCAAAUCUAAACACCUGAUGAAGCAAGGUAGGAGGAGAUGUGAAAACCUGCCCCCUGGUGGAAUUUCUUUUAUGGAUUUCUCAGAGAUUGAGAAUAUAUGUCCUGCUCCUAAGGGUAAUGAAGGCCAGCAGACUAAUUAUCUUCUAUCCCAGGGGCAAACAACUAAAGCAGACCUUUUGAGAGACAGUAGUCAAAAUGUUGCUGGCUUUUGGACAAGAAACUGUCACAGUAUGGCUGGUUCAGCAGAUGAGCAGGGGGCCAGUAAUAGUCCUACCCAGUUGUUUACCCAGGAUUCAGAGGGAUACAGAGUCAUUUCUCACCAGUGCUUUUAUGAGAGUGUCAGAUCUCCUUUGCAGAAAAAGUAUCUACAGGACAAAACCAACUUUGGCCACAAGGUGCCUAGCCCACCCUCUGUGGGCUGCUUAAAGGUUUAUUCUUCAGGGGCAUGGGACAGGACUCCUUUAGCUACUACAGCCAUGAAUUUAUGUGAGCCUGAGUCAUGCUAUGAUUUGCUAUUCACAGAGGAUUCAGAAGGAAAUAGAACUAUCAAACAUUGA